GAUGAAGAACGCAGCGAAAUGCGAUAAGUAAUGUGAAUUGCAGAAUUCAGUGAAUCAUCGAAUCUUUGAACGCACAUUGCGCCCGCCAGUAUUCUGGCGGGCAUGCCUGUUCGAGCGUCAUUACAACCCUCAGGCCCCCGGGCCUGGCGUUGGGGAUCGGCGAGGCGCCCCCAGCGGGCACGCGCCGUCCCCCAAAUACAGUGGCGGUCCCGCCGCAGCUUCCAUUGCGUAGUAGCUAACACCUCGCAACUGGAGAGCGGCGCGGCCAUGCCGUAAAACACCCAACUUCUGAAUGUUGACCUCGAAUCAGGUAGGAAUACCCGCUGAACUUAAGCAUAUCAAUAAGCGGAGGA
This 353-nucleotide unclassified non-coding RNA is filed under the name soil metagenome. Its description in RNAcentral is "partial contains 5.8S ribosomal RNA, internal transcribed spacer 2, and large subunit ribosomal RNA". The stretch from base 1 to 120 matches the Rfam family "5.8S ribosomal RNA", at positions 35 to 154 of the family's 154-position model. The record is from RNAcentral.